Molecule: ribosomal RNA, 253 nt
Filed under: uncultured bacterium
Lineage: Bacteria
Description: partial 16S ribosomal RNA
Rfam family: Bacterial small subunit ribosomal RNA
Source: RNAcentral
UACGGGGGGGGCAAGCGUUGUUCGGAAUUACUGGGCGUAAAGGGCUUGUAGGCGGCCAACUAAGUCAGACGUGAAAUCCCUCGGCUUAACCGGGGAACUGCGUCUGAUACUGGAUGGCUUGAGUUCGGGAGAGGGAUGCGGAAUUCCAGGUGUAGCGGUGAAAUGCGCAGAUAUCAGGAGGAACACCGGUGGCGAAGGCGGGUCUCUGGGCCGAUACUGACGCUGAGGAGCGAAAGCGUGGGGAGCGAACAGG